GUCGAGGAUCUUUUGCAAUGGGCGCAAGCCUGACAAAGCGACGCUGCGUGGAGGAUGAAGGCCUUCGGGUUGUAAACUCCUGUCAUUCGGGAAAAACGACUCCGUGACUAAUACUCAUGGGGAGUGAUGGUACCGGAAGAGGAAGCCACGGCUAACUCUGUGCCAGCAGCCGCGGUAAUACAGAGGUGGCGAGCGUUGUUCGGAUUUACUGGGCGUAAAGGGUGCGUAGGUGGUCUCGUAUGUCGGACGUGAAAUCCCGCGGCCUAACUGCGGAAUUGCAUUCGAAACUGCGAGACUAGAGUGCAGGAGAGGAGAGCGGAAUUCUUGGUGUAGCGGUGAAAUGCGUUGAUAUCAAGAAGAACACCGGUGGCGAAGGCGGCUCUCUGGAAUGCAACUGACACUGAGGCACGAAAGCUGGGGGAGCAAACAGGAUUAGAAACCCUGGUAGUCC
This 451-nucleotide ribosomal RNA is filed under the name uncultured bacterium. RNAcentral describes it as "bacterial SSU rRNA". It matches the Rfam family "Bacterial small subunit ribosomal RNA", at positions 354 to 796 of the family's 1533-position model. The record is from RNAcentral.